Molecule: ribosomal RNA, 498 nt
Filed under: uncultured bacterium
Lineage: Bacteria
Description: partial 16S ribosomal RNA
Rfam family: Bacterial small subunit ribosomal RNA
Source: RNAcentral
GACGAACGCUGGCGGCGUGCCUAAUACAUGCCAGUCGAGCGAACCAAUAAGAAGCUUGCUUUUUGUUGGUUAGCGGCGGACGGGUGAGUAACACGUGGGUAACCUGCCUGUAAGACCGGGAUAACUCCGGGAAACCGGUGCUAAUACCGGAUAGAUUAUCUUUCCGCAUGGAGAGAUAAGGAAAGAUGGCUAUUGCCAUCACUUACAGAUGGGCCCGCGGCGCAUUAGCUAGUUGGUGAGGUAACGGCUCACCAAGGCGACGAUGCGUAGCCGACCUGAGAGGGUGAUCGGCCACACUGGGACUGAGACACGGCCCAGACUCCUACGGGAGGCAGCAGUAGGGAAUCUUCCGCAAUGGACGAAAGUCUGACGGAGCAACGCCGCGUGAGCGAAGAAGGUCUUCGGAUCGUAAAGCUCUGUUGUUAGGGAAGAACAAGUAUCGGAGGAAAUGCCGGUACCUUGACGGUACCUGACGAGAAAGCCACGGCUAACUACGUG